RNAcentral lists this transfer RNA (71 nucleotides) under Dipodomys ordii (Ord's kangaroo rat). It matches the Rfam family "tRNA". From Rfam's summary of the family: Transfer RNA (tRNA) molecules are approximately 80 nucleotides in length. The record is from Rfam by way of RNAcentral. Lineage: Eukaryota; Metazoa; Chordata; Mammalia; Rodentia; Heteromyidae.
GGAGGUGUGGCUCAGUGGUAGAGUGAUUGCCUAGCAGGCACAGGACUUGAGUUCAAAUCUUAGUACUGCUU